GACGAACGCUGGCGGCGUGCUUAACACAUGCAAGUCGAACGCUGAAGCUCAGCUUGCUGGGAGGAUGAGUGGCGAACGGGUGAGUAACACGUGAGUAACCUGCCCUCUUCUUUGGGAUAACGCCCGGAAACGGGUGCUAAUACUGGAUAUUCACUGAUUCUCGCAUGGGGGUUGGUGGAAAGGUUUUUUCUGGUGGGGGAUGGGCUCGCGGCCUAUCAGCUUGUUGGUGGGGUGAUGGCCUACCAAGGCUUUGACGGGUAGCCGGCCUGAGAGGGUGACCGGUCACAUUGGGACUGAGAUACGGCCCAGACUCCUACGGGAGGCAGCAGUGGGGAAUAUUGCACAAUGGGCGAAAGCCUGAUGCAGCGACGCCGCGUGAGGGAUGGAGGCCUUCGGGUUGUAAACCUCUUUCGCUCAUGGUCAAGCCGCAGCUUUGGGUUGUGGUGAGGGUAGUGGGUAAAGAAGCGCCGGCUAACUACGUG
RNAcentral lists this ribosomal RNA (482 nucleotides) under uncultured bacterium. Its description in RNAcentral is "partial 16S ribosomal RNA". It matches the Rfam family "Bacterial small subunit ribosomal RNA", at positions 28 to 507 of the family's 1533-position model. The record is from RNAcentral.